Molecule: unclassified non-coding RNA, 145 nt
Filed under: uncultured Ascomycota
Lineage: Eukaryota; Fungi; Ascomycota
Description: sequence contains ITS1
Source: RNAcentral
CCGAGUUAAGGUCUCUAUGGCCUGACCUCCAACCCCUUGCAUACCAGUAUUGUAUUGUUGCUUCGGUGGGCUGAAAAUGCCUGCCGAUGCCAUACCAAAAAAUCCUUAGUUAAACAUGUUGUCUGAGUUUAUAUAAUAAUCAUUA